GAGACCUCAGGUCAGGCGGGGCUACCCGUUGAGUUUAAGCAUAUCAAUAAGCGGAGGAAAAG
Molecule: ribosomal RNA, 62 nt
Filed under: Lespedeza caraganae
Lineage: Eukaryota; Viridiplantae; Streptophyta; Magnoliopsida; Fabales; Fabaceae
Description: partial 26S ribosomal RNA
Rfam family: Eukaryotic large subunit ribosomal RNA
Source: RNAcentral